Molecule: non-coding RNA, 41699 nt
Organism: Callithrix jacchus (white-tufted-ear marmoset)
Lineage: Eukaryota; Metazoa; Chordata; Mammalia; Primates; Cebidae
Source: RefSeq, a predicted model, not a curated record
CCCACCCCUGUGUGUUCCUGUAGAGCCCUCUACUUGCGCUGAUCCUAUUCUAUUGUCCUGUGUAUUCUUUGCUCUUCCACUAGACUGGAGGAUAAAGGAAAUGUGUUUCAUUAAUAUUUACUCCCACUUCCCAAACAUAUCACAAUAAGCACACAGUAGGUAUGUUCUAAAUGCUUGAAGGUCUGUUGUCAAAUACUGCUUCUAAUCCUGGUGCUAGAGUAAAAGUCAUGUGAUGUUGAACACAUUUUGAUUCUGAAAGCAGAGAGGCAAGGUAAACUGGCCAGUAUACUAAUGGCAAAUGUGAGUUGGAGUGAUUUUCGGUCCAUGUCAUAGCUGCCUAGAUUAGGUGAUUUGAUUGGCAUUGACAGUUCUUACAGACCCAGAGAAAUCUCCCUUUUAAUGUCAGGGUAAUGCUAUUUAUUCUAUCUAGAUCUUCCCGCUAUCUGGGUCAUUUAUUGCAGUUUAACCUUCCACAAUGCAUGGGGCCCCAGGUAGGCAAGAGAGCAUCCUGCUUGCUGCCACGCAGGAGCCAUGCAUUCACCAUUCAGCCAAAAAUUUACAAUAAUAGAGAAAGUAUACCAAAAAGAACUUGAAUCUGCCAUUCCCUCAGCCUCUUGUCGUGUAGACACCUCAUUUGCUAUAGACAUUUCUCAGAAUUUAAUAUCUUUGAAGGAAGGGAAUCUGUUCACCCCACAGUAUGGUUGGCCCAAAUCUUAUAAGCCAGUUAUCUGUCUUGAAUAUAUCUUUUCCACUGCUGCUGAGAAAACUGACUGUAUUAGACCUCGAGAUCUCUAAAAUAGAGACGUUCUAAGUGAUUUUCUAGAGUAAUUCUGACAGCAGGCGAUUUUCUCUGUGCAGUCUGAUUUUACAUGUAAACUUCAACUUCACUGAAAUGGUCUUGAGAAUGCCAGAGGAUACACAGAAAAGAUCACAACAAAAGGCUCUGAUGGCCAGAGGCAGCUUGGGGCAUAUGUUGACUAAGGGCAGCCCUAGUCAUAGAAUGGCCAAGCCUUCACAUGCGGACCAAAGAAAAAUUUAUCCAACUUUAUUGGCGUGAUACGUGGUCAUUGCCCAAGAACUAUGAGUCACUUGUAUUUUGCUCAGAAGAAAGCAAAAAUGAAAAGUGGAAUAGAGGAAGUGAAAAAAGAAAGACGAGAAGAAAGGGGAAAGGAAGAAAAGGUGGAAGGAAAUGAGACGGCAACCAAGGAAGAGAAAAUAGAGCUGUCUGCGUGGAAAACUGUCAUAAUAGCCUUCCACAGCUACAGUAACUUGAAGGUACAUGACAACACCUGGACAUGAUCAAAGCACAGCUUGAUCCCUAGGGAAAGGAAGACCAAUCAGACGAGAGAGGAGAAUCCACACCAGAGCUAGACCAUAACGCCACAGCUCUCUGAAGCAGGGAGAAGACUGAGGAGACUUCUGCACACUUUCAGAUGACCUGGACUGCAAGUCUCGCUUUAUUGCCAGGCACUAGCCUGGAGUGCAAUGGCACGAUCUCGGCUCACUGCAACUCCCACCUCUCGGGUUCAAGCAAGUCUCCUGCCUCAGCCUCCUGAGUACCUGGGACUACAGAAAGGAACAAGAAGUUUUGGAGUGACUGAGCCACUGGCAGCCAGCAACAUUAUCUUUGCAAACCCAGCCUCCCUUCUCGUCUCUCAGGAUCUCAGUUGAUUGAAGAAAGCCACCUGUUCCUAGGCCACUGACUUUCUCUGUAAUCAAGAAAUAAUGACCACAUUCGAGAGAAGAACCUCUUUGUUGGUUCUGGUUUUCUCUUCUACAUGGAUUUUGAAAACAGGGCAAAUGUCAUCUCUGCAGCAUCUUUUCAGACUGCUACGAUCAACUCUUCCUCCUUGGUAUCUGAGUGGCAGCAGGAACUUGCCUUUCGUGGUACAUUUCUUACUUGACUCUACCUGCCUGCUUCUCUGUAAAAAUGUUGAAUUCCAGUGACUUUGGAAGCCAAGAGUUGAAGAUAGUGGAGCUACGACAAUGAAUAGCUUGAGUCUUGAAUCACUGCAUGGCAGACCAUCCACUCAGCACUCUCAUCGACCUGUCGUUUCUUUCCCAGCCCAGAAAUGUUCAGCUGCAGAUCCUGGCUUCUUCACACUUGAUUCUCAAGUCCAAAAGUGCAAAUCCCUCUUUAACAAGGUAAUGUGACCCUGGUGCUAAACUGAAAUCUGAGAACAUAUCUACUCUUUUUAUUUUCUUGGUUAGUUUGUAUCUAUGCCCUCAGUGAUUUGUUUGUUUUUUGGAAUCGGAGUCUCACUCUUUUUGCCCAGGCUGGAGUGCAGUGGCAUGAUUUCAGCUCACUGCAACCUCUGCCUCCUAGGUUGAAGUGAUUCUCCUGCCUCAGCCUCCUUAGUAGAGCAGCUGGGAUUACAGAUUCCCACCACCACACCCAGCUAAUUUUUGUAUUUUUAAUAGAAAUGGGGUUUUGCCAUGUUGGCCAGGUUGGUCUCGAACUCCUGACUUCAGGUGGUCCGGCCUGCCUUGGCCUCCCAAAGUGCUGGGAUUACAGGCUUGAGGCACCACUCUCAACUGGCCCUCAGUGUUUUUAUUUCAGAUGUUUAAUAAGGUAUUUUUGUUAAUUAUUCUGCAACUAAAUCAAUUGUCCUUUAAUUUGCCCAUUGCUGUAAAACAGUUUUUCUCUUCCCCUUAAUAAAUGACAGCUUUCUUUCAUCUUUGGUCAUAUUUGGUGUUCAAGCAUGUUUUCCAUAAUAUUGAUAAAAGUAAGUAAAAUGCAGAGAUGCUGCAGGUUUUAGUUUGGCUUUAAGAGUUAGAGGAAGGGGCAGAGGGAGGGUUCACAGCUUUUCAUUUUAUGGUACUGCUUGUGAAAUGGACCUUGCCUGACACGCAAUGUCAGAAUGGCAUGGUUGGCCUGCUUCUAUGUUCCUGUAGACAUGGUAGGAGAAAUGAUUGAGAGUUUUUCCAAUUCGGCAUGGAAACAAACCAAAGCAAUUUCAGUGUGGCAACGAAAGUAAGGAGGAGACAGAUGCUGUGCGGGCUCCAGUACCAGAGCCAGGGGAUGAGAAGCUUCACUGUAACAUGUCCCAUUAUUGCUCCACAAGCUAUUAUGGGCUGCAUCUCCCCAAGCAUGGGAGCUUGCCACAAUGGAAACCUAAAUAGAAUGGCACUCAGUGUUGAAUGGCAAGGCCUCUGAUCAUAAAUGAGAUAAAACAAAAGAUAUUUGAUGGUUAUCACAGAGAUAGACUUUCCUUACUUGGAAUUUUCCUGCCUCAACAUCCACAGGGAAAAGCUACAUGUUGGCAUUUCAUAAUUCAAGCAUUUUGUUUGCAAAUCUUAAAGCUUGAUUUCUUUUACGAAGUUUGUAAGUACUUUCAUAUUUGUAUUUCUGUUUCAGAGUUUAAAAUUCAUUGCAUCUAGAGAGCAAUGUUUAGCUCUUUAUGUAUUAUGGUAUUUUAUUUAUCUAAAGACCAAUAUGUUGCUUUCUACAGAUAACUUCAGAUGAAUAUUAUUAUCUAGUUAAAUGAGCUUCGUCAGCAGUGAGCUCUGCGGCAGGAGAUGCACCUUUUCUUCUAGUGUGACCAUUUGAUAUGGAGCAGACCAAAGGAUUUUCCAUCCCAUUACUGGAAUGUGUUUCUGUAACAAAGUUCUAGCAAGUUUUAGUGUGUAACCCAUUUCAAGGGAAAUUCUCUUCCGUUUUUUUUUUCAAUUAUGUCUUUUAAUUUAUACUUUCCGAAUCUCAUUCCUUUUGAGUGAAAUAUGAAUAGAUGAAGAGAUGUGAUAUCAUAGCUCAUUAGGUAAAACUUUUCCGGAAACAUGCUCCAUCCUCUCUAGUUAUUUGAAUUCAGAUAAGCUUAAAGGAAAAGAAUGAAACAAAGUUAUAAAGAAAAUUGGAAGUUAAUCGCUGCCAUUCGUCAUAAACAAGCUCAGAGGCUGGGAUAUUUGGCAUGAGGACAAUUAAGCUGCAAGAUAUAGAGCACACUCCAUGCUGGUGAGGACGGUCCACCCAUUCUGCAUGUGUCUGCAUCCCUGGGACUUAGAGUCUGGCAAGUGGAAGAGGGAUUUUAUCUUGUUGGAAAAUAUAAAUCGGAAAAUCAAUGCACAUGAAAUUGCAGACGCUGAGGGACACAGGUUCUCACUCUGUCACCCAGGCUGGAGUGCAGGGGUACAAUCAUGGCUUACAGCAACCUUGAACUCCUGGGCUCAAAGGAUCCUCCCGCUUCAUCUUCCUGAGUAGCUCAUGCAGAAAGAGGAGUUUCUGGAAAACCAUGCCUCAAGUGAUCAGCUAUUAUAAUCCUUGGAGAGUGUAACAGUAAAAAUUGUCUUGAACAUUUAUGUAAAGCUUCUGGAAGGAGGCAGGAAAGACAGCCCUAACUAAUGAAUACAACUUUCACUUUUAAGGACCUGCAGUACAGAAAUGGAGAAAGCUCACUAAAGAAGAGAAGGGACAUGCUUCACCCAGGAUGAUGGGCUGUCCCUUUUCCUUUGCAACUGGCAUAACCUUCACCAUGGAAAUAUGGAUUGCAAAGAAAUGGAAACUUGGUGCUGUUUACCUUAUAGCUCCUGCUGAUUUCUUGCAGUGGGGGAGAGGAGGAUUGCACUUCAAGGUCAGAGUAGCUGAGCCAAGUUAUUCCAAUAACCAGGAAGGACCGAUGAAGGUCUGAAUUAAUAUAAUUUAUCAGAAGAGAGGCUCCCCUCCAAGGCAAUGAAAUGAUCUCUUUCCAAAUAUGUAAUGAGGAGUGGCUCGCCAUAAACCCAAGGUAUGUCAGGGCAAAGAUGGUGAGGACUUUAUAGCCUCUCCAGCGUUUGCCUCACAGAGAGUGCCUAAUUAACCAUUUAGGGAUUCAGAAUUGUUAGUCAAAGUUGCUCUGAUGAAAUCCGGAAGGUUGUUCUCUUUCUUGUCACAAGUUGAACUGUUCGAAAGCAUGGCCUCAGAGAUCUGAUUUUCCACAUUGCGCUGGUAUUUUCUUACCUUGCGGCAGGCAAAGGGCUAGUCAAACUUGAAAACUGAAACUUCUUCCAUUGUUUUCCCUCAGAGCAUUUUAAGUUUGUUUGUUUGGUCUGUUUUGUGUCUGGUACAGUUCUUCAUUUUGCUUUUCCAGUGCAAGGCUACUGUGCUGGUGGUGAUGGAGGGGGUGUACAACGGAGGGAAGAAUACUUGCUCAAGGAAGUUUGCCAAGCAGAUACUCUGUAUCCAGCAAUAACAGUGAGGACAGAAAGAAUGUAGUUGAAGAUAUGAGAGGCAAAGUAAUUCAGAGAUUUCCACAGGUUUAAUCUGUUUCCUUCUCCCUGUCCCUAGUGAGAGUUAUUAAAAUAACUACCAUCUACAUGCCCAUUCUGCACAGGGGAGGGAUGUGUGAAGACAGCAAGAAAGCGCUAGCCUGUGUGUAGGGUGUGUAGGGUGAUAUGCUUUACAGCCAUGCUCACUCACUAUUUUUGAUCAUGGGCCUAGAAAUAACCAUCUGGGCAAUCAGACUUUCGCAUUAACAUGCAAUGUUGGCUAAAUCCACAGGCAGCUGGCUGAGUACUAUUUAAACUCAGUGCUGAAUAGGAGGAAGCCCUGACAGGCAGUAGUUAGGGUACACUCAUCUAUUCUACCCAUGUCAACAGUAAUGAUACUGUAAUUCUUUACAAAAUGUGGUUCUUUUUGCUAUGUUUUGACAAGCUGGCUGUUAUUCUAACUUUCUGUAUUAUUGGAAAUACAUAGACUAGACACUAAUAUACAUAUAUGCAUAUGCAUGUGUUUAUGUGGCUGUAUAUAUUUAUGGACGAAUCCAUCCCAGUCAAUCAUCCAUAGUUACUAUGUAUACUAUGCAAAGUACUUUAUUGUGUGAGAUAGAAAAAUAUGGAAACAUUGUAAGCACACUACAUGCAGGGGAGGUUGAUUCAACUAUUUUCUGGAACUCACUUUGUUUCCAUUAAGUGAUUUAGAAAGAUCGGGCAGUAUCCGAUAUCAUUUCUAGGUCUUUAAUUCUGUGAUUCCAUCAUUUUGGAUAGAAAUUAAGUAUGCUGUUAGGGUGCGGUGGCUCAAGCCUGUAAUCCCAGCACUUUGGGAGGCCGAGGUGGGUGGAUCACAAGGUCAAGAGAUCAAGACCAUCCUGGUCAACAUGAUGAAACCCUGUCUCUACUAAAAAUUCCAAAAAUUAGCUGGGCAUGGUGGCGCGUGCCUGUAAUCCCAGCUACUCGGGAGGCUGAGGCAGGAGAAUUGCCUGAACCCAGGAGGCGGAGGUUGCGGUGAGCCGAGAUCGUGCCAUUGCACUCCAUCCUGGGUAACAAGCACGAAACUCCGUCUCAAAAAAAAAAAAAAGACACACGACUGGAUUAGCGGUUACAAGCUUAAGCUUUGGUGUCAGAUUCACUUUAAAUACAAGCGUAGCUUCUGCCACUUAAAAGUUCUAUGACCCUGUGGCAUUUAUUAAAUUGGGCUUUGGUAUCCCCAACUAUAAAAUGGGAAAUUGCCAUUGUGAUCUAGCUCCUAGGGUUGUUUUAUAGAAUAAAUGUGAUAAGGCACAUAAAGCAUUUUUCAGAAAUCAUGGUAAAGGACAAUUAUUACAAAAAUGUUAGCGCUUUUAUGCUAUCAUGAUGGUACUUAUGGAAGCAUUGGGGAAAAGUAAGUCAGCAGAACUCAGUAAACUUGAUUCCUUUGCACUGCCUUUCUUUGUUGGAAAACUGUUGACUGGAUAGAUUUUUUUUUCCCCUCCUGGGGAAAAGUGAAGUUGUGCAUUGCUUUGUGCAGUUUGGAAGUAGAAAGAUGAUCUCAUGUGUAAAUCACUGAAUUUAUGUUAGUUCUAAUCAUUCCCACAAGUACAUCCAGGCUUUGCAUGAGGUAAAUACAUACAUUUAUUAAAUCAGUUCAUAAACAGUGAAGAUAUAUGUGUAUGAAUUUCUGUAUAGACACAUAAAAUCAUUUGGGUAUUUGUAUGUUCGUAGGAAAGAGCCAGUAACUAUGGAUAGGUUAGAAGUCAGAAAAUGCAGAUUUAAGUAGGACUCUGAUACUAACUUGCAGUGUCAUUGUGGAUAAGUUACUUAAUCUUUGUAGUCUCAGUUUACUUCUUUAUGCAAGUAGGGCUUUACCUAUUAAAUGAUCUCAGCUCAAACACUGCCCUGAAAUCUCAUGACCCUUUGUCAAUGGUAGCUCCAUGAAUGAUAACCCAGGAUAACUAGAAUGAACUAGUUCAAUAUUUCUCAAAUUAGAGUGGGAAGUCUCAAGAGUCCAGACAGUGUCAGCUCAAUCAGCAAUCUCAAGACCUCCUGACCAAAAGUUGUCCUGUUCACAUGGCCCUGUCCCCACACUGCCUGCAGCCAAAAAUCCAAAUAGGCAUUCACAGCUAUUUGUCAAGCACUGUACUUGAUGCUGGAAAUCUAAGCUGGAAAGCACAUUUUCCUAAUGGGGAAGACAUGUAAUAUUUACACUAUUUUAAAGACUGGCAAGCACACAGAAAAAAUACUAAAUAUUUCUGUUAAGUUCUGAUAAACUGACACACAGGUUUCUUUGGAGAUGAGUUUUGAAGGAUGUCAGAGAAUUGAUCUGUUGGUAAAGUAAUGAGGAGAUAGCGAAAGUUCUCAAGCAAAGGAACAAAAAAAUUUUUAAAGAUACAAAGGUGUGGGAAAUCUUGAUAUAUUCAGAGAAUAGAAUUACUGUGGAUGUACAAUACAGAACAUUGGUUAAGAGGCCAGAUACCAAAGUCAAAUGAUCUAGGUUCGAAUACCAACUUCAUCACUUAGGUGCAAAUAUGGUGUUAAUUAUUUGACUUUUCUACUUCAGUUUCUUCAUCUGCAAUAUGAGAACGAUAAGGUAUUGUAAGGAUAUAUUUUUGAAACAUAUUCGGUCCAUAUGAGCUAUUUUUCUGAGUAUUAAGUAGACGGGGUUAAGUGAGACAACAGAGCAAGGAGACACUGAAGAGGUAGACUGUAAUCUGUUGACAGCCAGAGCCUGUCUUAUGCCUUGUCAAAAGAGGUCUCCUAGAUGUGCCUAUGGGAUUUAUGCUGGAGAGUCCAGUGGCCAUAUUAAUGGCAUUGUGGCAGGUAGAUUAGGAAAAGGGAAAACUGGAAGAAGAGAGUCUUUUCAUAAAAAAAUAAGAGUUGGGGAAUAGUCUGAUAUUUUGCCUUAGGUAACAAGAUGAAUCACAACCAUUAACAUCUGAGACAUCUGAAGAGGAAGUGCAGGUCAUUGAGAAAUAUGAUAAAUUCAAUUUUAUUGCAUUUACAGUGUCUGUGGGACAUUAGCUGGAGGUAUUCAAUGAAUGCUCUGAAAUAGAGCAAUGUCUCAGAAGAAAGUCUGGAAUAGUGCUGUCCAGUAGAAACCUACUGUGACCCUCAAAUGCAAAUUAUUUAGUAACUACACACACAAGGGUAAGCAGGCAUGAAUCUUAAUUACAUGUUUUAUUUAACACAAUAUAUCUAAAAUGUUAUUUCAUCUUGUAAUCAAUACAAAAUUAUUAAGAAGUUUUCUUGCCAAGUCUUACACUUGGUGUGUAUUUUACACUUAGCACAUCCCAAGCCAUAUGUCAAGUGCUCAGUAGCCAUAUAUGGCUAGGGUACUACUGUAUGGGACAGUACAAUUCCAGAACAUGGUAAUGGGGAAGAUUUAUACAUUAAGCAAUGAUCAGCUGAAAAAUUGCUGGCAGUAUGCUAGGGCCAAGAAUUCAGUGAUGUAUAACAGAGGCACAGUUUCUCCUUCACUAACCUUACAGUUAUUAGGGAACAUCAGUUCUGCUGGCUUUCAUGUUCUUUCGGUACAAAUUAGGUAACAGUGAAGUCUCUGGGCAGAGUUAUCCCAAACCAGGGGUCACAGAGCACACAUGAGAUUUCUCUGCCUCUCUCUUUUUUUUUUUUUUUUUUUUUUGAGACAAAGUCUCGCUGUAUCACCCAGGCUGCAGUGGUGUGAUCUUGGCUCACUGCAACAUCCACUUCUGGGUUCAAGUGGUUCUCCUGCCUCAGCCUCCCGCAUAGCUGGGAUUACAGGUGUGUGCCACCAUACCCACCUAAUUUUUGUAUUUUUAGUAGAGACAGGGUUUCACCAUGUUGGCCAGGCUGGUCUCUAACUCCUGACCUUGUGAUCCGCCCUCCUCGGCCUCCCAAAGUCCUGGGAUUACAGGCAUGAACCACUGAGCCCAGUCAAAAUUUCUAUUCUUCUUUACCCUCUCCGCCCUGAAACUUUCUGUAGUACAAAUUGUACAAAGUCAUAAGUGUGGAUGCCACAAUUAACCUUGACAGGGAAUGCAGACAUUUACAAGUAAUGAAAAGAAAAUGGGAGUGUUCUAAGGGAGGAAACUCAUGCGAGGGGACUUGGUUGCUUAAAGAUCAGGAAUGUCACUGAAGUAAUGACAUGUAAGCUGGGAACUGAAGGAUGAUCAGUCAGUAGACCAAUGGGAAACUAGAUGGAUAUUCUAGGCAGAAAUCAGGAUACAUUAGAAAGUACAGAGGCGAAGUCCUCAGGGAAGGUCAUGGAGCUAAGAUAAUUUGGACCAUGUGUGGAGAGGAAAGGAGGAAGGACAUGAAGUUAGGGAGUCUAGGGGCUCCUCUGCAGGGCGGACUAUGGGAGCAAGGGAAAGGAGAAAGGACAUGAAGUUAGGGAGUCUAGGGCUCCUCUGCAGGGCGGAUUAUGGGAGCAAGGGACACACAGAGCCAUGGAUACUAGUGUUGUCAGUAGACAGCAAGAGGUCUUGGAAGGAACCUGGGAAGGCACAGUCAGAAAUGCAGGAUGAAAACCAGAAGUGUGUAAUGACAUACAAGGCAACCCGUGAGAGGGAAAAUUCACUUUGUGAAAAGGGCCAACAAUGUGUCAAAAACAGCAAAGCAGUCAAGGCUUAAAAGGCUAAAAAGUGGCUGUGGGAUCAGUUAAUGAAGGCAGCGGUGAGGCCUUGGUGAGCACAGUCGGGAGAAAAGUGGUCGAAACCGGAUUGUAGCAGUGGAAAAACAAACAGAACUUAAAGAAGAGAAGAUGUUUUAAAGAAAGCUGACGGCUGGGAAGUGAAUGAAGGUGACGCCUCUACAGAACGAGAAGGGCCCUGUAGUGUUGGUAAGAGUUGUUGGCUUUUUUAUUUGGUUGUUGUUUUUAAUCAUGAGGUAUUAUCACAUCUUCAAACUUCGUGUUCCCACUGUUCUCUCUCCAACUCUGUUACAGAAAACAGAUACAUCCGGUACUUUUUUUCUUUUUUUUUUUUUGAGACAGAGUCUCACUCUGUCGCCCAGGCUGGAGUGCAGUGGUGUGAUCUUGCCUCAGUGCAGCCUCUGCCUCCUGGGUUCAAGUGGUUCUCAUCCCUCAGCCUUCUGAAUAGCUAGGAAUACAGGCAUGCACCGCCACGCCCAGCUAAUUUUUUGUAUUUUUAGUAGAGACAGAGUUUCAGCAUGUUGGCCAAGCUGGUCACAAACUCCUGAUCUCAGGUGAUCUGCCUGCCUCAGGCUCCUAAAAUGCUGGGAUUACAGGUGUGAGCCACCACGCCUGGCCCAUCUGAUACUCUUCAGAAAUGAACACAGCAGUCAGAAGCUGUUAUUGGAUUCCCUUUGUCAACUUAUUGCACAACUUGGGGCCUUGUGAUUGAAUGGGUGUUGAAUUUGGAUACACAGAAUUGCGUGAUCAGGGACCAUCAGAGGAAGGGCUUGGUAACCACCCUGUCUUCUUUCCUUUCGUCAUUGUUCACGCAGGUAUGAAUGAAGUCAUUCAUUUUCACUGAGCACUUACUUCAUGUUGAGACCUAAGCAACAAGUGUGGCAACAGUGGACUUCGCAGUCAUUUAUUAUGGCAGACACUCUUCUCACCGUUUGACGGAUAUGUCCUCAAUCUUUCUCAAAUCUUCAUUGGACAUACACUACUAUUUCUUCGGCUGAGCAAUGAGAAAAAUUGAGAGAGAUUAAAAAUGCCAAUUAGAGGUGCAUGGCUGCAUCCAUCAGGCUCACAGGCUCUAAAACAUGCUCAUAACCACCAUGCUACCACACAGUAGGAAUACAUAAUAAAAACAGCGGAUGUGCCUUAGUCCCUGACCAUUUCAUGUGGGAACCUUAGCCAAAAGUCUUCCCUUGAAAUUCUUCCCAGAUUAACUCCAAUCAUCCCGAGGCUCUGGUUUACUAUGCCUUUAUGCUUUCUAUUGUUCCUGUUGUUUUUGUUGGAUGUUGCUAUGUAGUGUUUUUAGUUUUUCAUGUGGAUAAACUGCUGAAUGUUUAUUAUCCUUGUUUGAGUGCCUGGUAGACAUAAGGCCUCUCAAAUUUCUCUCUCUCUCUUUUCUCUCUUAACAUUCUGAGGUUUAAAAAAAUACUUUAAAUGAAAGGGUCACAUGCAGUUAGCUUCUAUACUAAUUUGGUCUUGUCCUUCUAAUCAUGGUUGGCUGGAGUACCCUCUCUCCUGAAUCUUUCUCUUUCCUUUUUUCAGAGAACGCUGAUUAGAUGUCCAAAAGUGCCCGGUGUCCAAAAGUGUGAUAGAAAACAUGGAGAAGGUAUCAUCACCGCUUCACAGAUGCCUACAUUCCAGAGGAUCUCAUCAGAGCAUAAGAGCUCUUGCAGGUAAUUAGUAAUUGGUCCUCACAGCACCCCUGGGUAUGCAGCAAAGCUACACAGAGUGCAGAUGAGCCUUUCCAGAGUACAAGACAAUUUCCUCCUCAGUGAUGGGGACAAUUAUAGUGAUCCACCUUACAGGGGUGUCAAUUAUUCACAAUCUAAAAGCCCUGAGAAUUACAAACCUCACUAGAAUGUGUAUACACAGCACACUUGUGUUGUACCUAAUUGGCAUUCUCCUUUCCCCUGCCCUGCCACCUGCAAAUCACAGCACAAUGACACCCGUGGGUUUACCUUUGAUCCUGGUUAUUGACAUGGAGCCUGCCUCUUUACAUCAAAGAUCUGCCUGGAUCACACGAGAGGACAGAAGAACAAACCCGCCAGGUGUUGAUGAGCCCACGACAAGCAACCUAAAUGGAAUUCUGACAGGCCUUCCCAGCUUUCUACAUAAACAUAAUGAAUCAACCCAGAAUACACACUCAAUAAGCUAUGAGUAAAGCAGAAAGCAACGUACGAGGAUAAAGGGAAAAACAGCAGGUUGAUCUAGCUCAAUGACAGGAAUUGCAAAAAUCCCUCUGAAGGGUGCAGGGUGCAAGUGAAAUAUUCCAACUAAGCUUCUGUUAACAAUUGCUACCAACGACCCAUUCACCUUCGGAUUCUUUCUACUUGAGCCUUUUUUAUCCCCUCCCUCUCUCCUAUCCCUCACCUACCUUAUUUUCAUCUUUUUAUGUGUAACUAUCUCUCUGAUGAAUUGAAAUUGUGAGCUUCAGGCAAGGAAUACAUCCCAUAUAUUAUUUUGAUUCAAUUAAAUUAGAAACACAGUCACAAAAACAAAACCACCAUUUCUGCUUAUGCAUUUCAUUAUUGGCACAUUCACCAUGCAGUUCUUCCCAUCUUCUUUGUCUCGGCACUUCUUCUUUAUUCAACUCUUCAUUUCAUGCAACAGCUAUUAUUGGACGUGUUCUCACAUAGACUAGGAAAUUGUUUGCUACAGAGGGAGUCGCAGGAAUAGCGUCAAUAAAAUAAAUGGAAAUAGCAUUUCUGGAUAAAAGAACUCUUCUAUAUUAUCCACUGACUCUAUCUAAAUAUCUGAGUUCCUUAAAGAUUUCUGGGGCAGGUUUGUGUAGAGGGGAGGCUGAGUAUAAAGGAAGAGGAGAGGAAUCUGAAUGAUCAUCAGAGGCAGAGCCAGAGGAAGGUGAAAAUUGAUAAAUGAACUAUCCACAGAAAUGUCUUUCAAAAUAUAAUUCUAAACCAUUCUUUAGAACCUAAGGUUCUUACUCAAAAACCCCACUACCUAGUACCUUUUCUCCCAAAUAUAUGCAGUGACAUCAUCUCAACCUGGAAUCCUUUAGAGAAGAGUCAUGCUAAUACUAUUACCUCUAUAAUUUCCAGAUGUGAUGUGAUAACUAAAAUAGAUCAUCCCUUACCAUAGAAUAAGAGGCAGAAAGAAGCAGGCAAAUUAUAGCUGAUAGGUCUUGGGACAAUUGCACAAACUCUUCAAACCUAAAUGAUUAGAAAGGCCAUGUUUUUCAUUAGUCAAAUGCUUGCCACAUGAUCAUAAACUUGACCUCUGGUUGAUUGCCUGAAUAAAGAAUUCAGUGACCAAGAUGGAAGUUGUUAUAUUUGUCUUAGGAAAAUGAGGAGUGAGCUCACACAUUUUAAUUCUAAAGCUGCAUUGAAUAAAAAAAAAACCUCUGAAAACACAGAACAAGUUAUAAAUAUACAAAGAAAUGGUUUCCAGGACUUUCUUUCCAAAUAGAAUGCAUUAAAGUAGCUGGAAAAUUGUCCAUUGUGGAGCUAAACAAAGAUGCUUCAUCUCUCCUCCCUUCCCAGUAAAUGAGAAAAUAGAUCACACCAACCAAAGACGCCAACAGUAACUCUCCUGAGCAAGCCUAAGGAACAUUUCCCGAAGCUCAGGUCCUUGGUCAUUGAGCUCAAAUGAAAGGAAAUUUUGAGCAUUCCACCCAGAGCUCGUGGUGUCCACGGUGUGUGUGGAUGCAGGCAGCAUGCACCCAUGAGAAAUCAGUCUCAGAACAUGCUUGUCAAAGCCAAUUUAAAAAUAUUCUAUCACACUGUUGGGAAACACCUCAUUAUGAGAAUGAACUCUGCUUUAGGGUGAUGGGUAUAAACAAACACAACAUGUUAACUUUAUAGAUUAAUGCAUACCUAAUAUUUUGUAUAAUACUUUAAAGACAGGGUAUCGUAGGAGAUCUGAGAACAUAGAAACCAAGAAACAUAUUAACUCCUGCAGUGGAAAUGCAUAAAACAUAAACUUAAAAUAAUAAGCACCAAGCUACAAUAUAUUUUUGUGCCUGAAUUACCCGAUUGAGAUAUUUACAUAUAUUAAAGUUACUGUUGGUUCUCCAUAUCACUUUUGUGCUUAUAAAUCUGGUAAAAAAGGGACCCAGGGCGUUAAUAUAUUAUUUAUUCACUUAUUUGCAAUAUGUGUCUAGCAUACAGCCUUCAAAUAACUAACAGCAUUAUGUCUGGGUACUCUGCACUUGCAAUAUUCAACAUUAGGCCCUUGGUAACAAGCAAGUAAGUGGAGGAUUGUUUCGACUAUUUUGAGCAUUGUGGCCAUGUGGAGGGAUAAAACCAUUUGGAUUUAUUAUAUAGUGAAUUCCAAUUAGAAAAUACAAGAGUAAGGCAUGACAUGGUUCACACAUUUCUAAUUUAUAUUCCGAUGAAUGAUAAUUCUGUGUCCAUAAAGAUACUAAAUUCAUGAUCAUAUUGGAUAUAACAGCCCAUUGAGACCCUAUCCUUGGGUAGAAUUGAAGCUGAUCACAUUUCAAGAUAGGUUUAUGGUCAGGUAACAAAAUGUUUAUGCGCCCAUACACAGCAAUAGCAGAAAAAUUCCUCCCAGGACUUAUCUUUGGCCCCUUGAGAGCUUCUGGUUGCUUUUCACUGUUGCCUGUGUUCACCUGUUCCUUCCAUUGCUUCUUUGAAUGAUCUUUAAGUAAAUACCUCAAGCUUAUUCACAGCACUGUAGUCUCAGCACUGUAUUGCUAUAGGAUGUCAUUCUGGGUUGAAGGAUGAGGUUUUUGAGGCCCAAGGGAAUGAAACAAGGUGGCCACUAUCACAUAGGCAGUUAGCAGGUGGAGGAAUCCUCUCAGUUCCUUUCUUCUUGUGGUCAUUAGGGAGUAAACAUGGACUUGGUCUCAAGUAAGGCUUGUGCUGACAUCCAGUGUCUGCUGAAGGACUUUGUGCAUAUUGCACAAUGCUGUUCAGGUUGGGAUAGCUUCCUCCUGGUUAGGUGACCCCAUGUCCUACUGGAGUCUUUCCUCUAAAAUGGGUGGGAAACAGAGGGUUUUUUUUUUUUUUUUCCUCCAAGAAAACAAGGGAAGAAAUCCACUGUUCCAAAAGGAGAAGAGAAUUCCUAUUCCCAGGUAUUUCCUGCAGAAACACAAGUCCACUGGGCUGCUGAGCUCAGAUACUCUGUGAAAGAGAGCUAGCAGUUUUGGUCUUAUCCUCUAAAGAAUAAUAGAAAAUACUUGCACUCAGCACCGGAUAAUCUCACAGCCCUCUCUAUCGGUACCUCUGUGGAUACGGCUCUUCAGAAACUGCCAGCACCUUGGAAAGACUUCAAACCAUGUCUUUUCAGCAAUGACCUGAGUUUACAUGGCCUCUUUGUGACAGCAGCCAAGUGGUCUGGCCUGGAUUUUUGUUCCAUGCCUGAACUCAUUCUUUGCUGAUAAAGUUAAACCUAUUCGGACUGCCUAUUUUUGCACCUCGUGCAUUCCACGGGGAAUUCCACAAGUCCAGGAUAGCUCUUACUCCGUCCUGCUCUGUUUGAAAGUGCUACGUGGAAUCCCAGUUACCACCACCAAGGCUUGUACAUCUCUCUCCCCGCUUUCCUGAAAAUUGGUCCCCCAACGAAUUUAGCAAGGUUGUCUAGUUUUGUUCUGAGGUUAAAUGUACUCAGAGUAGAAAGAGAUAUUUUCUCUCUGUAUUGAUUAGUUGAAAGGUUUUGUGGCUGAAGACGUGUUCUGGGGACACGCUUUCCUGCUACUCCUUCCUCCUCCUGAUGCGUGUCUGCUCUGAAGCACACAGCACGCUAACACUGCAACGUGGCAGAAGGAAACUGGGAUGAAGUGUGAUAAGGCCUAGUUCCAAUCCUGUAUUUAACUCCCUUUUUGCAUUUAGGCAAAUCUUUAAAAUCUCUUUAAACUUCAGGUUUCUCAUAUCAAGCUCAAGGAAAUAUCCAGUGUACUGUGUGGGCAAUAUAUGUAAGAGUGUUUAAAAACAUUUUAUUUUAUUUUGUUUUAUUUUUGAGAUGGAGUUUCGCUCUUGUUACCCAGGCUGGAGUGCAAUGGCGCUAUCUCGGCUCACCGCAACCUCUGCCUCCUGGGUUCAAGCAAUUCUCCUGCCUCAGCCUCCCGAGUAGCUGGGACUACAGUCACGCGCCACCAUGCCCAGCUAAUUUUUGUAUUUUUAGUAGAGACGGGGUUUCACCAUGUUGACCAGGAUGGUCUCGAUCUCUUGACCUCAUGAUCCACCCACCUCAUUUUAAAGGGCAGGUGAGCACAAGUGUAGAGUGUUGUUUGGCAUAGAGUGGUAUAUGACAGUUAGAGAAUAGUCAUUGCUUUUCAUGUUGUCUGUCUUUCCUCCCCUUCUUUUUAUUUCUGUUGACUUAUCCCUUUAUUCAACUUACUUGAAUUAGUGACAUCCAGCUAUACAUCAGGUAUAUGGCAAGUCCUGGGAAUUGAAGGUUAAUAACACAGCAAUCUAUUCUUCAAUAGCUUAUAAUCCCAUAGUAGAGACCCAACAAACCAGUGAUUACCUUAUGAACACCCUGACAAGGGCAUCUAAAUGAGCUUUUAGCAUCAGGCAAGUCUUCCUGGAUGAGGUGAUAUUUCAAAUGAAGUUUGAAGGAAAGGACGCUGGAGAUAACAAGUUGAAGAAGUAGGAAAUUGCUCCACUGAAAGAGAAUGGUGCAUACGCAUGCCCGGGAUCACGUAGCAUUAAGAAUUUGGGAAUCCAAAUCAGCUGGCAUUGCAGCAGCACUGUAUUAAAGAGACAGGGCCAGGCAGGAGGCUGGAAUGAUGGUCAGGGCCCUUUCCAGCGAUAUUAAAAAUUUUAGUCUUUAUCCAAGGCUUACACAAACAAUGACUUGUUGUUUAAGGAGAGGUCAAAUCUGUGCCUUGCAUGUUUGCAUACCUGUGAGUUGUGGGGACCAACUGCCAUAUAAUAUUUUUUAUUUUGAGAUGCUCCAUUCAUACCCUCUAACCUCAAAUACAUAAAUUACCUGGUUUGGCAGUAUCCUUCAAGAUGCUUUAAGUUUUCAUCCAUCAUAAAAUGAGAGUAAUUUGAAUUUCUAAAAAUUGGUAGGUGUUUCAGUGGCCUGGAUUGAAUGAGUGACUUGAUUAAAAUCCAAAUGUGGGGCCGGGUGCGGUGGCUCAAGCCUGUAAUCCCAGCACUUUGGGAGGCUGAGGUGGGUGAAUCACGAGGUCAAGAGAUCAAGACCAUCCUGGUCAACAUGGUGAAACCCCAUCUCUACUAAAAAUACAAAAAAUUAGCUGGGCACGGUGGUACGUGCCUGUAAUCCCAGCUACUCAGGAGGCUGAGGCAGGAGAAUUGCCUGAACCCAGGAGGCGGAGGUUGCAGUGAGCCGCGAUCGUGCCAUUGCACUCCAGCCUGGGUAACAAGAGCGAAACUCCAUCUAAAAAAAAAAAAAAAAUCCAAAUGUGAGGAAAUAGAACUUCACACUCCCAAACCACAAGCACAGUUAGCCAUUAGAUUGGACUCAUUAGGGCAGUUGUAGUCAUCAUGUCAUGGGAAAAAUAGGUGUGGUGACUAACUUCAAUGACCAUUCAUGGCAUUUAUUUUAAAUGAACUGGAUUUGAAAAGCACUUGUAACGGCUCACUCAGUCAUGAGUAAAGACACAUUAGUUUUCACUUUUUAAAAUAUUUAAUUAUUUUAAAUAAUUUCAAAAUAAAAUGUAGCCAUCAUGGUGAAAAAUGGCCCUCCAAAAAUGAUGAUGAUGAUGAUUAGAUAUUAAUCAUGAUAAGAUUAUGGACCAUCACAUUGCUUUGCUCAAUAUAUUGACUCUGCUCUGUGAACUUCUAGGCCUUCCAUAUUUUUUAGUUACUCUAAUAGUAGAAACUAAUUUAUGGAAAUUAAUUUAUAUCUAAAUGAAAGUGAACCAAUUAACUAUAGGAAGUUUUUAAGGGAAAGGUUUUUAAUUAUUGCCAGUGUUUUGUUUUUAUUUGUUUUGUUUUUUGUUCUUUUUUUUUUUUUGAGGAAGAAUUUUCCUCCUGUUGCCCAGGCUGGAGUGCAGUUGUGUGGUCUCAGCUCACUGCAACCUCCGACUCCUGGAUUCAAAGGAUUCUCCUGCCUCGGUCUCCUGAGUAGCUGGGAUUACAGGUGCCUUCCACACACUCGGCUAAUUUUUUGUGUUUUUAAUAGACACGGGUUUCAUUCACUAUAUUGGAUAGGAUGGUCUUGAACUCCUGACCUCAGGUGAUCCACCUGCCUUGGCCUCCCAAAGUGCUGAGAUUACAGGUGUGAGCCAUUGCGUCCAUCCACCUGUGUUAAUUUGUAAAGGUUUGUGAGUUCUAUUAAAAUUUUCCAGUCCCUGUUUCUGUAAUUGAUUGGUGCUAAUGACAGCAUUUUAUUAACUCAGCAAUGAAGAUUCAUUAUAUGUUCUGUACUCACGAAUUAUUUGGGUUUCUUUCUCCUUUUCCUUCUUUUUCUUCCUUUUUCUUCUUUUUCUGCCUUUUUCUUUUUUUACUAUUCAUUACAUGUAAUCUUUUUUUACCCCCCAUACAAUCUUUGGCACUGACUCUGUCAAGCUUUUGGAAAUCAUUUCAAAACCUCCUCUUGCUUGUUUUUGGAUACAGAGUUUCACCCAUGGGAAUUAAUUUCUUGACCUCUCCCAACUCUUAAUAACUAACACACCCACUCUAACCGACAUCUAUCCGAUUACAGCCUAUUCAUAAUCUUGGAAAUUAGUUGAGAUCACUUAAAAUAUUUGUCUGCUAUUAAUGUAGGAAUAAGAACUUAGGUUCAUUUCCAGGUAUUUCCUUUUUUAGGUCAAAUUGAACAAGCUCUGUGCUUAUGCUCCAGGAGACCCACAAUAAAUAAUUGCAUGAUUAUUCAAAGCAGAUACCCAUGUAGAGGUACAUAAUGAUUCUUCAUUUGAAACCAGCACACAUGCAGUUAUAAAAAUCUUUCUCUGUAAAGCCAUUAUUUGUUACAUUAAAUCCAAAGGCCUUUGUAUUUUUGUUUUUUGAUAACAAGCAUUUUUACCAUCUCUUUUUGGUUGGAACUAUGUUCAGUGCUCUGCCAUUUAUGCUUUAGCCUCUAUAAUGUUAUCGAGAUAUUAACAUAUGCAUGAAGAGUUGUAGUGAAUGUAAUUACAGUGGCAAAAUGAUAAACACAUAGCUAUUUUGCCUGGUAAUAUUAUGUAUUUAACAGGUUUAUUUGUUCAACAGUUCUAACUUUAAUUAUAUUUUGCCAUUUGGGAUUUUUAGACGUACAACAAUCAUAGCUCUUCUCUGGCUAUUAGCCUAAAAAGAUUGCAUUCAUUAUAAAAAUAAUCCAUAUUUGUUUAUUUAAUUUUUUUCUUAAUGUUAUACAAAUGAGCUAAGAAAUGAUAACUUUCUGUGCUGCUGGUAUUAUACUCAUUUGGAUGCUAAACAAAUCCUGCCCCAUUCUUACCUGUGGCAGUGAAAUAUGCUAAACAGGGUGUUGGCCCCAGGCCUGCUCAGUCUCAGCGACUGUGCUAUAUACCUUCACACAAACUUGGAGCUAGUCCUCAAACCCUGGUUCUAGAUCACUCUGAAAAUCUCAAAUGCUUUGGGAAGCUAGCCAACAAAAAAUAAACGAAGAAUAGGUACUAAAGCUAACAAAUACGUGCAGAGGGCCAGUCUCCAUAACAGCAGGGCUCAGUCGUUUUGUGCUCAACCGCAGCAAAAUAGCCUCUGAAAUGAUCACUUGCUGUGAAAUGAACAGAAGAUCUGGGUAACUCUCAAGAAGGUAAGAGUGUGGCAUGGGGUGAGCUCAUGUGAUGUCAGUGAAGAUUCCAGAAAGCAUAUUGAUAGUUCUUUCUCAAAGUGACUGUUAUAUGAUGUGUUCAUUAUUUUUGUGCUUAUGCUGAAGGCAAUUAAGCCUUUAGUUCCAAAGGCUUUUUUCUGCUUCCCAUCCCCAGAUACUUAUUCGGGAAUCUACCUCUGCAAUACUCUUUCAUCGAAACCAAAUUAUUUCUUCUGAUAAAAGCAGACUUUUUUUUCCAGAUUUGGUCAAAAGAUACAUUCUAUUUGGUUAACACAAUGUUAUUGUUGGAUAUUAAGACUUACAUAUAGUAAAAUUUGCAGAUCUGAAGUGUUUGACUUGAUGAAUUUACUUAUGUAUAUACCCAUGUAAUGAUCUCUUAGAUCAAGAAGUAGAAUAUUUCUGACUCCCGUAGACAGCUCUCUUGUAUCUCUUUUCAGCACUUCCCCUUUCCGAAGGAUAACUUGUAAAGAAAAUUUUUUUAAUUUCUUAAUGUAGAUUUAAAGUCAAAAAGAUGAUGACAUUUGAUAAUAUAUUGCAAUUAAUUUUAGUAUUUUGACAUCCAAGUGUUUAAGUACAACUCUUUAUCCCCAAUAUAUAGAACUGCAAAACACAUUUUAAUGAAAGAGCUAAAAGUUCUUCCUUAUUCAUUUGCUAAACAUUUAUUAUAAUAUAGAAAAUGUGUUAGAUACUGGAAAAUAAAGAAUUCAGAACAACAACACACUGCAGACCCUGCCCUGAAGAGAUUUGGACAUAUGACCCUUCAGGCUAUGAUUUUAACUAUGGUUGCAAAUGUGCAUAUGUGUAUUUGUGCACAUGCUACACACACACGUACGGCUUCUAUUUACUUUAUUCUGUUUUUGCACAUAUGCAAAACUACAAUAAAAUCAGAUGAUGAGUUCAUUGUGUUGGGUGAACCAGAGUCACCUCAAUAACUUCCUCCCUGACAGGCUUGAAAUUAAAAGCAGCCUGUAAAAGCUACCAGAUCAGUAAGCAUGUUCUGACCCUGAUGUACUAGUUGUACUCUGGUUUCUUUAGUUUACAUCCUACCGUCUUGGGACUGGAGUCUGCCUUUGUGCCUACUUUUUUAGUUCGAUGCUUCAUUUGGACCAUCUGCUUGGUUCUUGAUUACACCUUUUCUUUGUAUAUUGUGUUUUUGUUCUCUCUUGGCCAAUGCUCCAAAGCCCACAGCCAUCCCCUCAGAUAGCUCUGGCUGCUGGCACUCCGUUGAGGAUUACAGUCUUAACUGUUACUUAAACAAAAAUAGAGUUUUGAUGGCAGGAUUAAGCUCUAAGAAACAAGAUUCUCUUCGCAUAAAUACUUGCAUUUACAAUAAGUUUUUUAGUUCUCUUGGUUCUUCCAGAAAAUACAACAUUUUCCUUGGAAAUUAUCUUUCCAAGGAAGUUUCCUUAAAAUUAUCUUAGAAAAUUUCUUUCUGAUUUAACAAGUGGGCAAGUCUGAUUUUGUUCUUGGAUAGGUUUUCUUCAUACCCUUGAAUUAGGGUGCCUUGUAGUGAAAUUCCUGUUUGUAAUAACAUGGGCUUUUAAUGUGGCCAACAAUUCCCAAUUACUAAAACACACAUAAUAUCUUAAUAUUUUUUGCAGCUCUUGUUUAUCCAUGAAUUAUUAUUACCAUGCUUAACCGGAGAUAGAAACUCACCAUGAACUUAUCAAGUUUUCCUCUUCACAAGAUUUACUUCAGUUUGAAAGAAAUUGCAACUGAUGAAGCAAUUGCUAUGUGUCAUAAAGUAUAGGUAUCUGACAUUCAUUACAAGGAAAGAAACAGUCAAAUAUCAUGGGACUCAUUUAUUUAUGUCAAUAUUAUCUAUAGAUACUAUAGAUAAUAUAUCUGUAGACUAUGUCUAUGGACAAUAUAUCUGUAGAUAAUCUAUAGAUAUAGGCAAUAUAUCUAUAGAUAAUCUAUAGAUAUUAUAGAUAAUAUAUGUAUAUUCUGACAGAGAAGGAAAAACACCACUCUAAAGUGUUUAAUCUACCAUAGUUUGAUAUUGUCUUUCUUGUUCGUGUCAGUUUGAAUUACUUGGUUCUGUUUUUUUGGUUAUCUGCAAUGACUGGGCUAUUUAUUUACAGAAUAGAGGACAUGGAAGCUUACUCUAUAUACACAAAAGAAUACUGUACCCGUUCAAUCAUAUAGAAAUAGAAAACAUUAUCUCAUGGAGAUAUUUUUUUUUUCUUGUUUUGGUACUUUUUUUGAAGUUUUAAAAUAUGUUCUACUUUUGUCUGUGACACAAUUUUGGAUCUUUUGAUACUCUGGAGGACACACUGCAGUUGAGCUUGCAAACUGAUGACUAGCUUUUUGGUGACACCUUGACUGGGUCAUUGUUGACAUCAAAGCCCAUUCUUUCUCCAUCCUGAUAGGUAUAUAACAUAUGGGGUGCAUCUUGCAGUGUUUAAAAUAUGCCAUACUGAUAUCGACAUAAAAAUAGACAUAAUGGAACAGGAUGAGAAUCUAGAAGCAAACCUGUGCAUUUAUGGUUGAUUAAUUCUCAACAAAGAUGCCAAAAACGUACAAUAAAAAAGAACAGCUUCUUCAAUAAAUGAUGUUGGAAAACUAGAUAUCCACAAGCAGAAAAAUGAAACUGAAUUCUUAUCCAACACCAUAUGCAAAAACCAACUCAAAGCAAAUUGAAGGCUUAAAUGUAAGACCUUAACUGUGAAACUACUAAAAGAAAACAAAGAGGAUAUAUUUACUACAUUGACCUGAGCAAAUAUUUCUUAGAUAUGAUCACCAAAGUAUAAUUAACAAAGAAAAAUUAAAAAUCAGAUUGCAUCCAACUAAACAGCUUCCUCACAGCAAAGGGAACAGUAGAGCUAAGAGAUGGUUCGUGUAUUGGUAGAAAAUAUUUGCCAACUGUGUAAGGGGCUACUAUCAAAAACAUGUAAGGAACUGAAUGCAAUAGCAAGAAGACAAAUAAUCCAGUAAAAAUUGGGCAAAGGACUCAAUAGACUCUUAUCGAAAGAGGACAUAUGUGGCUGCCAGAUGUAUUAAAAAAUUGUUCAUCAUCACUAAUCAUCAAGAAAAUGCAAAUUAAAACCACAAUGAGAUAUCACCUCACACCUGUUAGAAUCGCUACCAUCAAAAAGACAAAAGAUAAAUGUUGGUGAGGUUGUGCUGACAAGGGAACCCUUAUGCACUGUUGGUGGAAUUGUUAAUUAAUACAGCCAUUACAGAAAACGCUAUGGAGAUUCCUUUAAAAACUAAAAAUAUGUCUACCAUAAGAUCCUUCAAUCCCAAUACCAGUAUAUAUUCAAAGGAAAUGAAAUCGGUGUUCCACAGAUACCUGCACUCUCAUGUUCACUGAAGCAUUAUUCAUAAUAGGUAAGAAAAGAAAACAAUCUGUUUCCAUCAAGGAAUGAAUAGAUUGGGAAAAUGUGGUGUCUGUGCACAAUGAAAUACUAUUCAGCCUUAAGAAAAAAGAAAAAAUCCUGCCAUUUUUAACAACAUGGAUAAACCUUGAGGACAUUAUUCUAAGUGAAAUAAGCCGGGCACAGAAAGAGUAAUACUGAAUAACCUCACUUGUAUGAGGAAUCUAAAAAGGUUGAGCUUGUAGAAGUAGAGAGUAGACAGAUGUUACCAGAGGCUGGGGAAGCAGAGUGGUUGGGGAAAAGCUGGUUGUUGAUCAGAGGAUACAAAGUUCCAGUUAGAGAGGAGGAAUACGCUUUAGAGAUCUAUCAUGUAGAAUUGUUACUAUAAUAAAAACACAGUUGUUAAAAGAGUACAUUUCAAAUGUCUCAACAUGUGUGAUGUGAUAGAGUUGUUAAUUAGCCUGAUUUUAAACAUAUAUCAAAACAUUACAUUGUACUUCAUAAAUACAGUUAGUAUUUAUCAACAAAUAAUAAAAUUUAAAAAUGAACAGAAAAGAAAAAAAUAGGCUAAUCAUUUGUUCAUCUUACCAUUAAACUGGUGGUUUUGUUUUGUUUUUAAUAGGUAUUUUCUGAGGAAUCAAAUAAGACAGAACUUGAAACAUUAAUGAAAUAAUUUAAAGUAACUCUUUAGAAAAAAUUAAGUUUUUGAGAAGAGCUCAUUGUUGUUUAAUUUUGUAAAGUUUAUUCCCUGCCUUUGGUAUUAAGUUUUGUAUUUUACAUAGCAUAACACAGAAGUCAAUAUUCCCUUCAUGUGUUCUUAAAAUCUUUUAGAAACUGAAUGUUACUCUCUUGUGAAUGUAUUUUGAAUAUAGUAAUAUCAAAUUGCUGUGAGGUAUAGACAAUAAACCCUGGCUUCUGACAUUCUCUCCUAUGUAAUUCAGUUGUUUGAGCCGUUAUUUCUCAUAUUUGCUUAACAAAUUUGUGACUUCUUCAUCGAUUUCAUUUUUUUCAACACUUUGCUACCCUAGACUUUAUUACCUAAGAAUAAGUUGAUUUUUUUCCCUUGACGUUUGCUAGAGUGAAAUAAAAGUGAAUUGCUGCAAUAUUCCCACUUCAGUAUGUGCAUGUCUUCAUGUUUUUUCAGUGUGUUUACGUGUUUUCUUAAUCAUUUUCGCCAGAGCUCUUUUUGGAGCAUCCUUUACAUACUGCUAUGUAAGAACCAUUUUUCUUUUCAAGUUAUAUGUGACUGUUUAAAGUAAUAUACAUAUAUACGUAAAAUUAACACUUUUCUUCAAAAGCAGAAUUAGUAAGAGUGCACGUGAGCAGAAAUGAGAAGACAAGAGGUAAAGAUACAAUAAUUCCACCUUAAAUUAUUUCUUGAUGUUAUUAGAACUUUUAGAAAACGUAAAGUCAGCUAAUUUGGCCUAUUAUUUACUAUAAUCUAUGAAUUGCUAUGAAAGCUGGCACUUAGUCUCCUGAAUAGAUGCAGGGAUAAAGGGCUAUGCUACCGUGGUCCUUCAUAAACUACCAAAACUACCAUGGGCCACAGAAGACUGAAGUAAAAAUAGGUGAAGAGAGUGAAGAGAUCGGUUCCCUACCUUGUACCCUCUAAGAGUUCUCUUUGGACUUGUGGAAGAGAACAGCCCAUACACAUGCUGUGUGUAAAUAACAAAAACAAAAAACUGAAGAAGGGUUCUUGUAAGAAACCAUUGUCUUGUGUCAUUCUUUUUUCUGCUUUGCACAGGCCAACACUUAAGAUGAGUACAUUUCUGGGUAAAGCAAGCAUGAAGAAAGGCUACAAUACAAAUUCCAUAAAAGGUUGCAGAGUGUAUGAAAUUCAUGACCAAUAUCAACUAAACAAAAGUGUUUAGUUUUGUGCCCAGAUAAUUUUUAGCAUUUUAACUAAAUACAGCUUAGUUCUCACUAAGUGAUUCUGCAUGUCCUAUUUAAAAUUAGGAACAUGGAAACUAGUCAAAUGGGUUCCUACAAAACAGUGUAAAGAGAAGGUCCUCUCACUGGUAACCAAUUGCUAUAUAAGACAAAACCCAUAUAUUUUUACUAUCAAAAUUACAAAUGAUAUUCAAUAAUUUUUUUUGCUGGGUGACAUUUCAAUCAUUGGCUAACUUCAAAAUUUUAGUUUAAAGAAGAAGAAAAGAGUUGUUUGGUUUAAGGAGGAGAGAGAUUGUUUUAUCAAAAGCACAAAUCAUGCCUGUGAAUAAAAUGAGUAGGUAAAAUAAAAUGUGUUGGUUCAUUUAUGUGCACUGUGUAAGUUAAUAAUGAAAAACUGGCUAUACCCAGAAUCCAGCAGAUCUUAAUAAUAUAGUUAUUACUAAUUAAUUGAUAAAUAUUAUAUAUUUAUUUGUACCUAUUAUCUUAAGCACAAAUAUCAGACUCAUUUUUUUCAGAUAAAAACAUUAAUUCAUUGUUUGGAUUUUGAGACAGCAACGUGGCAUUGCCCAUUGAGACGUCGACCACCACCUGUGGAAGUCUGGCCGGCAGGCUCUGACUCAAAGAUGGAUGAAUGAACGCACGCCACACCAUCACGUGUUGCAUUUGAGGUCAGCAUUAUCUCAGCUUUGGUGUUUUCUUCUCAGUAGAAGUUGCUGUUAUCAGUUCACCCUCUUCUAAAGCUCUGCUUUUGGUUUUAAGGAAGAAGGAAUGCUUCUGGUAUUGGACUUGAAGUGCAAUUUUAAUGCCAUAAAUACUAGGAGACUCCUUACAAGUGUAUGACGGAUUCAAUGGUGUCAGAGGGCACUUGAGGAAGACUUUCUUGAUGAUUGUUUGAAGGCAGGGAAGACUAUUCCUGGCUCCGUGGGUGCAGCAGCUAUAUUGACACAGACAAGCACAAACCAAGGAUGAAUGUCCUGGAUUCCAGUCAUGUAUUGACAAUAAAUGUAUGCCUUUGACUUGGAAGCGAUGGCGCUGGAAUUUGAAUCCAGGUGUGCUGGUUUGAGAGCAGAGGCGUGACAACUCCACCAUGAGAGUGCAACUGUGUGUUGACUCCAGGUGUCUUCCAUCUGCUGAGACUCCUGGUUCAAAUUUCUGCUCUGACCUUUACAAGUCCAUCACCCACAGGGAAUUCCGAUAUGGUACGGAGAUAGGACAGAUGAACGUUGUGAUCUCCAUGAUUCAGGAGGCUGCAGAGAAUCUUCAGAAAAUUGAGGAAAACUGUAAUUGGAUUUGGAUUAACCCUUUGGCCCAAAGAUGUUAUCUGUCAGAAUGCUGAAAGUAAUAAGAAAAAAACCUUAAGUGAACAAGGUCCGAGCCUCAUGCUCACCUCUUCAGGCAUAAUUCUAUUUCAUCAAACUUGCCUCACAUUCGCUUCUGUAUGUGAUUGGACCCACAGAAAGCAGAGAUUCCACAAACUCAUUACAAUCAAAUGGGACUUGAAUUCUCUUGUCUAAUGUCAUAAUAAGCAAUUAUGAGCAUCUUCUCAGCAUUCAAAUUGGGUAAUGGCAAAGCCCUAGAGAGGCAUUAGAUGCUGGCAGACUCUGGCUGAUGGAAUGUGCAUAUGCUCAAUGGAUCCCCAAAGGCAGAAUGGGUAGCUAGAUGCCAGGGCAGAUCGCCCUCAGUAUUUAGGGUAGACACUACCUUCAAUUAUGACUUGUGUUUUAUAAUCGGGGCAGUUAUAAUAAUAUGUGUGUUCAUUCUGGAAAACUCAUCGUGGCAACAAAACGAACAGCAUUUUCUAUCUAUUUCCCAUUUUAAUCAGAGAAUAGCAAAUGAAUUUCUUCUUUCAACUUCACAGUUCCCGGAUAAUGUCUGGGAAAAUACUGGUUGCUACUAUAUGCUAUUAUUUCAUUUUAAGUUAAAUCUCCUUUGUUGAGUCUGGGAAAGGUGGCAGAUUUUGUAUUAUCGGUGGAGCACUUUGUAGUGAUAAUUAGAUAAAUAAACACUUGCCACCCUAAGGAAGCAGUGCCUCUUAAUUAUUAGAAAUUUUCCCUCCAAACAAAUUAGUUACUAAAUUGUAACUAAGCCUUUGCAGCAAAAUGUGAUGCCCUCCAUCUUUUUUCUCUAAAUCAGGUGAGUGUUAAGGGAUAUUACUGCUUGUAACUGUAUGAUUCAGUAAAAUAAUUAUCAAAUGAAAUGUAUACAUACUAUAAAUCUCUUUACCUUGGAGAUCUUUAGAAAGUACCUUUCAUAGGUGUCAGCCUAGAUGGUAUAAGAAACAUAGAGCCUUGGACCAAAUUAAGGAGCUCUGAAAAAAUAUCAAGGUUUAAAAAAAUUUUUUAACUGUGAAGAAAAACAUGGAGAAAUAGGGAUGUUCUGUAGGAAUGAUUGACAUUAUCUUUAUAAAUGCAUUAUUUUCACCUCUUUUUAGUUCCAAAAACUAUUUAAAAGCAUGUAAUAUGCAUUGAAAAGUAAACUAUUAUGGACACACUAAAUGUGUAGACCAAGCCCUAAAGCUUCAAUACUUAAAGAUGUUACAUCUAUCAUGUGGCUCAUUUUUCCCCUGGCAAAAUCAAUGUCGUUAUUUCAUUUGUCUCAACAACCAAAUUACCCUGCUGCAUGUGCUGCAUGGUUGAUCUGAUCCAUGGUGGAUCCAAUUCCAGCAUCAAUUAUUGAAAUGGUCCACAUUCUGAUGUGGCUGUAGAUGUUGUCAAAGUGCCCUGUGAACCAAACCUCAGUGACAACUCAAACAGAUUCUCUUCGACGCAUAGAAAUCAGAACUCCUUUCGACUCUUCAGAUCAUCAAGGGAAGCUGUUUUAAGAAUGUUUUCCCUAGCAAUGCCUAUUUUCUCAUUUUGUAUAUCACCUUAUUCAGAUAUUGUAGUCUCUCUAGGUUUACAAACACAGUUGCCAAUAAAAGGACUAGCAACCGUUUUUGCAACAUUUCCUUCCUUUAUAAAAUCAGGUGUAGGAAAUUGUAUAGCAUGUGGACAGAGAAAUGAAUAAAAAUGUAUAAGCAUACCCAAACACAUUACAUUGAAAUUAUUUUUGAAUUAUGAAUAAAAGGUUUGCUUUACUUUCACAUUGGCACAGAAUGUAGGGUAACAUGUAUUCGUGCAAUUACGAUUAAGAACUGGAUAUAAGGAUGACAAAUAAAGUAAUCCACAACAAACAAUCAAGUAAUGAUGGGAGCCUGGACACAGCUGAAGAGUGGUCUGGAGUUCAGAAGGCCUGCUUCACACAUCAGCUUUCAUAAUUCUGAUUCUCUCUGCAAUGACGCCGGCCCUCUGUUUCUGUCUGAUAUCGAACGCUAGUGACGCUGAGAAAGAAGCAGAAAACAAUGCUCCCAAGUGCGAGAAAGAGUGAGUUUUUUUCAUGCUUUUAGCAAUGUGACCUUAGGUAUUGAUUUAUAGCCUGCCGCAGCACCCCAGAGCAAAAGGGAACAUUGGUAAUUAAGUCAGUAUCUGCACUUUCUAAAAUAGUGCUGACUUGCCACAAAGAGAGCCCCUUUAUUUUUCCUCUCUGUCUCCCAGUGAAUGCAGAUGCAGGCACUGACCUCUGACCUUUCUCCAAAUUCUCUAGCUGCAGCUGUUAUUUUUCUUUCUCGGGACCUUUAGCUAUUGAUAGACUGGUAAGAUUCCUUAAAUUGUGUGUGCGACUUUCUUUUAAGCAAACAUGAAACAAUUUAUACCUCAAGAUUUACUUUUAAAAGAUAUCUUUAUUGAGCUCAGAAUGAAGAUAAAUAUUUUUACUUGGGUACCUAUUAGAGAUUUUCCAGAUAAGUGCUUAUGCCCAUUGACCAUAUUAAGAAUACACAGACACUUUUUGGAAGAAUUUGUAUUUAAACAGAACUUUCCAUUGUAAAACUCCCAGGAUUGCAAAGUGUAUUGAGUCAGAAGUCUCUUUGUAUUCCAUUAGAGUCAUUACUGAAAUAGGGCCACAAAAGGUAACAGCAAUAAAAUCAAAUACCUUGAGGUGUGCAUGCAAAUUAUAUGCUAAUACAUGGUAAUCAGAGUAGCAUGUUCAGUGGCCAUAACAAAUACUAACUAUGGCUAAUUAAAGAUAGGUACGUUGCUGCUGUGUUUUAUACUUCAUGGCAAUAUGAGAGAGGUUGACUGUUAUGAUAAUUAUAGCACUGCUUGCUUUGCGGGGUACAUCCAACAUUUUAACACUAUUUCUUAUUCUGUGUAUUGGUCCAUUUAAAUGAAUGCAAUCACUUUUUCUGUUCUCCACCCUGGGUCUUAGAUCCAUGAAGUUAGUGAAAAACUGAGUAACAAAUUAAGUCUUUAGCCUCGAGGAAAACAAAUGCUUCUCUCUUUAGCCUCAAGGGAACAAAUACUUUGCAAGUGUCCUGCCCACCUAACACUCCUCUGAAAAUAAGUGUCCCCGAUGGGCAUGAUGGGGUUCAGAAGUCAGCCACACUGAAAACCUGGGUGACAGGAGCCAAGAAUUCUCGGUGUGCUUUGGAAAUGCAAAAAACUAUUUCUCCCAGAAAUAUGCUUGAAGAUCGAGGAUUUUUUCUUAUAGUGAACUCAACAGAAUAUAAUUUUCUUUUUCAUUCUAAAAAAUUUCUAAGGUAGCGAAAAAAAAAACCAACAACAUUCAUAAGAGAGCAUACAGUAGAUGUGAAAUCUACCUUCCUAAAAAAAACCCUGAUUUUUCUUAACUAAAUAAGUUAUGUGUGUAUAUUCAAUAUGCAAAUAGGACUUUAGCCUCUAAAAUGCUUUUGCCCCAUUAUAGUAAAUAGAUACUUUAUCAGCAGAUAUUUGGCUGAAAAUUGACCAAAUUGGGCAAAAAAUCCACCUCAAGCCAAUAUAUACCAACUUACUCAUGAAAAUUAUGUUGUAGUUUCUCAUGGCUGCUGUUACACAUAACCACAGACUUAGCGGCUUCAAACAACCCAAAUUUCUUAUCUCAGACUUCACUUUGGAGGUCAGAAGUUCAGCACAUGUCUCACUGGCAAAACUCAAGGUGUCAACAGGGCUUCAGUCCUUUCUAGAGGCCAUAGAGGAUAAUUCAUGCCCUUGCCUUUUCCAGCUUCUAGAAUCCACCUGUGUUCCUGGGCUUGUGGCUCCUUCCUCUGUCUUCCCAGACAGCAAGAGCAGGUUGACUUCCUCUCAGGGACUCUGACCUUCUCUUCUGCCUCUCUCUUUCACUUCCUUAAGAUAAUGAUGACAUUGUCUCCACUAGAUAAUUUAAGAUAAUCUCCCUAUUCUUAAUAAAUCUGGUGAUUAGCAACCUUAAUUCUAUCUGCAAUUCUCAUGUGCCUUGUAGUACAACAUAUUCACUUGUGGGGAUUAGGAUACGGAAAUGUUUAGAGGUAGGGGAUGUGCAUUAUUCUGCCUGCCUCCCUGGUAUAUAUGUAUCAGGAGUGGAUGCAGAUAUGUUCAAGCCAUGUGCUACUUUCAGUGAUUUCAUAGCCUAUCCCAGGAGAUGGAUAUGCAAACAAAUACCUGUUGUACAGUGUAAUGAGAAGUAAUAGAAGCAUAUACAUGGUCCACUAGUGGCCCCAAAGGAAGAAGUGCCAAAUUUAACUUUGGUGAAUCAUAAACAACUUAAAAGAAAACCAGAGAAUUUACUGAAAUUUUGAAGAAUGAUAAAAUUUCUGCAAAGAUGUCAGGUGGAUGGGGAUUCAAAGAAAAGAUAAAAGUGCAGGGUAUAGGACAGUAGGUAGUACGAGGAGCCCAGAAGUUGAAAAGUUGAGCAGAAGCAAGGAUUGAUAGUUCAGUCAUCUUUAUAUUGUGUUUAAUAAGAAACCAUGUAUGGUUUUUGGACAGUGUAGGUAUCAUAUGCGGUAUGUGUGUUAGAUGAUAUCAUACUGACAAUGGAGAGGAGGGAUUAUAGAGAAACUUAUCUGGAACUGGACACCUCACCAAGGAGAUAAUUGCUAUCCUCCAGGAAAAAAGAAAGGAACUGACCUAAACUAAGUCAGUGGCAGUGAGGAUGGAGAAGGAGAGACGGAUUUGAAAGCAAUGGCAGGAUUUACUGAGUGAUUGGAUAUGGAGCCUCAUGGGGAGAAUGAGUUAAGGAUCCUCCUGGUUCCUGCCUUGGGUAACUGGUUAGGUUGAAAUACCACUAACCAGGAUGAGUGUUACAAGAGGAUAAAUAGCGAUGGAGAAGAAGAAAAUUGCUUCAUCCUGGAUAUGAACUUAAAGUGCUUGUGGGAGGACGUUGAGGAUCUAUCUUUACAACAAUUAAAGUGAAGAGAUCUGGGAUAUUUUGUUGAUUUUAUGUUUAAAGAAAACCCCCCAAAUUGUAAUCUUAGUCUGGUUGAAUGAAGAGAUCAUUUAGAAACCGGAUAACAUGUACAGAAGGGGUCCAUCAACAAGGAUGGAGAAGGAGACAUGGUACAGAGCACCACGAAUAAUGUCAUGAGGGAGAAAGUCACAGAAUGCACAGAAAUGUUCAGGAUAACUAAAGCACACUGCAGUGCGUAUUUAGAACAAAGAGAAGGAAGUCGGAAGGUGGGCUGUAUAUAAUAUUUAAAAAUUACACAGAGAAAGCGAAGUUUACAGUGGUUUUUCUUCUUUCUUCAAAAGAAUGAUCCUCAAAUUAAAAAUGGGUAUAACAAACAUGGUAAAGAGAUAACUGGAUCCAAGGAGACCCAAAGAGAGAGAGAUACUUAAAUAACAUCUGUUGGUUGUAAAUGUGUUCCUGUGUUUAGACUAAGACUAUUCCAGGAUACCAAAGUAAUUUCUAGACGUUUUCCAAAGAGUCAUUACUCAUAAUUUCUGAGUAGUUAUCGUAUUAGGCCAUUCUUGCAUUGCUACAAAGAAACACCUGAGACUGGGUAAUUUAUAAAGAAAAGAGGCUUAAUUUUCUCAUGGUUCUGCAGGCUGUACAGGAAGUAUAGUGGCAUCUGCUUCUGGGGAGGCUUCAGGAAGCUUCCAAUGAUGACAGAAGACAAAGGGGAAGCAGGCUGUCAUGCAGCCAAAGCAGGAGGGAGAGAGAGACACAGAACAAGGUGCCACACUGUUUUAAACAGCCAGAUCUCAGGAGAAGUCACUCACUAUGGCAAAGACAGAACCAAGGGGAUGGUGCUUAAACAUUCAUGAGAAUUUCAUCCCUAUGAGCCAGUCACCUACCAGCAGGUCCCACCUCCAAUAAUGGGGAUUACAAUUCAACUUGAGAUUUGGGUGGGGACACAUAUACAAACCACGCCAGUUACGAAUGAGUGAAGUGCCAGAAGACUGGUGUCUAAAUGGUAAGAAUGCAGUCAUCAGGAGGUUACAGGUUUGUAAUGUUCUCCUUGACUCCUGACAAAUUCUAGACUGGAUUAAGAAGGGUUAAGAAGAUAAUGUCCCUCCUGGUGUUAAGAAGAUAGUCACAAGAAGGGGUUAACAAAAGCACAUUAAUAGGAAUUCAUUUCAUUUAUAUUUUCAUUUUUCAGGGAAUAAAAGUUUAGGGAAGCUAACAAAUUGGAACAGGAGCCAAAUGAAAUAAAAAUUUUAGUUUUGAAAUAAUAGACCCGGAUCAACAUGUUGAAUUGUGCAGGGCCGAAUGUAAAAUUCUUAUGCUUAGGUUUAAAAGAAUCAAAUCAGCUUUACCAGUUGGAAGAUAUUGAGGGCCCAGCAUCAUAACAGUUAAAAUUAAAAGUUCUAGGCUAUUUAGUUAAUUGUAAGUUUCAAUAGGAUAUCUCAGACUAUAACCUAGUAUAGACAUGUAUCACCUCAAACAAGAAAGGUAACAGCUGUAGCUGUCCUGGCAAAAGUCCCAUUUUGAGUAUGGGGUGGUCUUUUUUGUACUAUAUUUUAAGGGGGCAAAAACUAAAAGAAAGGAAACUUUUGGUAUAUAGAAAUCAUGUCCAAUGAUUAGAAGUGGAAGGAGGUAACUAUAAUGUUUAGGUCGAAAGAGACAUAUCAUGUCUUUGGUAUUUGAAGACAAAGCAUGGGAUCGGGCUUCUAAUUAUCAUUAGCUCUAGAAGCUGAAAUUAGUACAAUGAGGUUGUAGGGUAGAAAACAUAAUCUUUUGCUCUACUCAUCCUAGGUUCCUAGCUGAGAUCCCUAUAAUAAAUAUAUAUGUAUAUGUAAUAUACAUACAUAUAAUAUACGUACAUAUGUCAAGACAGAUUAACAAGAAGAAAGCAGACAUUUAUUUACUAUAAUAUUUGUAUGUCAUGGGAACCUUCAUAAGGAAAUGAAGGCCCAAAGAAACGGUUAAACCUGAGUGUAUUUUAUAGCAGGUUUGAUGAGUAGUAGAGAGAGCUGGAGAAAUAUGAUAGGGUAAAGAGUAUGAUUUAAUGGUGAUGAAUUGGGAGAAGCUUAGUGAGGCUUGUGCAUUCAGAUCCUUCUGUGUUGUCCCUUCAUCUUCAGAUAUCAGAAUAUGGUUCUUUUCUCAAGGUAUAGGGAGGACACCUCUUCCGUGAAGAUCUUAUGGACUGCUUCAGGGCAAGAGCAGAAAAUCCGUCCUAGGUUUUAUGACCUGCAUCAGGGAAGAAGGAUAGGAGGUCAGAGAGUCCUGCUUCUGCCGUUUUUUAAUAUGUCAUGGUGCCAUAUUUUGGUAGUGUUUCCUGAACUGUAUUAAGGUAUAAAUACAACACUAAAAUAACUUCUAAAAAAAUAGAGCUUCUAAUAAAAUGAAUCAGCUGCCUGAUGAGAGAUAUGGUUCUCAAUGAGAAUCCUCAAGUUCAAUCUAAGUGAUGUUUUCAGGGAUACUGAAAAGGAAGUGUCAACAUCAGGUGGAAGUUUGAAAUACAUCACUUUUUCCUAAAUUUUAAACUGUGAAUAUCCCUUUUAAUUAAAAAAAAAAACCCUAAGUCUUUGUAUACUAAUACUUCUAGUAUCCAUUACAUAAGAAAAUGUAUAGGGUUAUAGUAAAAAAACAUUUUAUUUGGGUCCAGAAAUAUUGUCAUGUAAGUAUGUAUUGAAAUGACUCAAAUGUCUCUUUUCACAUUUACAAAAACAGAAUUCUCAAGACAUAUUUAUUCCUCAGAAAAUUCAUGCUGCUUCUUUGAAUUCAUAACUCCCUUAAAUAAUUUUGUAUUCUCAAAUACUUCCAAGGUCCAGAUUGAAAAGUAAAUGAGAUAAUAAAAUUAGGGUUCUCUAGGCCUGUUUAGGGCUUGAGAAUCUGCAUUUGAACAGGUUCCAAGAUGGCUGAUGCUGGAGAUUUGCAUCAUAUUUUGAGUAGCCAUCCAGGAUCAUCCAGGUGUAAAGUCUGUUUUAUUGUGUCUCAGUUUUAUCCAAACCUAAAGCUGACACUGUUUCCAUUGAUAAUAUAUAACCGAGUCCCCUGACUUACUCUGAAUCCUGAUUGUACCAUUUACUCAAGCUCAGUGAGGUUGAAAACAUUUCCUAAAAUUUCUGAUUGCUUAAGGAGAUGGAUAUAUUAAAAUUAAAUGAAAUAAUCUACUGUGCUGAAAGUAGUACCUGACAUAGAACAUUCAUUCAAAAGUUAUGGCUAUUGACAAUUUACAUGGCAAUGUAUGUAAAGGUGGUGAUGAGAAAUUAAAUGGAAUGAGAAUACGGACAUUUUGUCUCAUAAAGCAAUGUGUUUCCUGAGAAAUUGCACAUUAAAAAUAAUAGAAUUUAGGGAAACAGACACUCCAAUUAAUCUUUGUAAUCAAAGCACUAAAAAACAAACAAAAAGAUAAUUCGGAUGUCAUGAUGAUGCAGAUGCAUACCUAGAAAUAUAAUUUAGAUUAAAUUAUAAUAAAGAUAAUUUAGAUAAUUUAGAUUAACAGACAGCUCAGCACUGUUAAAAGCUACCUCAGUGGAUAUUAAAAAUCAGCAAAAGCGAAUACAGUCGCAAUACUGAUGACAGUAUUUUAAUUAGUGCAGCAUUGGUGGAUGUGGAGAGGUCUGCAAUAGUGGGCUUCCCUUAAGAUGGGCAAAAGAGUAAGCAAGCGAGGUGAGAUUCCUGGUGUUCCAAGCCCCACAGGGCUGGCCUGGGCUCUCGCAUUCCUUCCGACAUCAUCGAAUAGACACCUGAACAGAUGCUUUUGUGAUUCCUCCUGAAGAUGGUAAUUCUACUGUUGUUAUUUUGCACCUCUCCUUGCCUGGGGGCAAGGAGGCCAGGAAUCAAAUAUAAACCAACCUGACUCCUGCAUUUCACCAACGUCAUUCCCAAUGACAGUGUCAAACUAGUUAUUAAUUUUAGUUACCAAAACCUGCACUGCAGUAGAACAGAACGUCCUGGGCUUUGUAGUCUAUGUCUUAUCUGGAAGGCACUGAGAAGGACCAUUUCCUCUAAUUCGCUUGGAUUCUCUGAUAUCCAAAUUAAUAGUAGACAAUCUAGGUUACCGUGGUGGAGAAAACCUUUGCAAACUCUUGAGGAAUAAAAGCAAAAGGGCAAAAUAGCCGGAAGCAGAAGCCGUUGGUUAAGUAUCUCUUUUACUUCCUCCAUCUUAUGGUGCUUCGUAGGUGAAGACCAGGCUCAGUUAUGAAGCAUUUUCUCCUAGUUUAAAUCUAUUCCUAAGCCACCUCUCCUAAUCCCACGAUACAGCUUCUGUAGGUGAGAGCACUGUUAACUGGGCAAGCAAGCAUCUUCCAAGAGAGCCGAGAGGAUCAGGUGCAACUUUUUGGUUGGUGACCUCAUUCCUUUGGGAAGAAAUGGAUAAAAAAAAAUAUUCAAAGAGAGGCUGCAGUUCUUGGCCUGGUAUCUGGGCUAACUGCAAGCUUUACAGUUUUGCCUUGAUGUGUGUUUAAGCAGCAGCAGCCUGCAGUCUGGCACAAGGAGGAUUUUUCCUCCACUUGUUUUAUUCUAAAUCGUUUUCAAAAGCUCCUGUGGAACACAGACUGUGGCUUUGAUCCGGCCAACUUAUUCAGUACUGACACUCCCAUGAAAAACUCCAGCUCAGACCCGCUUCAGCCACUUUUAAAAUUCUCAUUUAAAUUCAAAUACCCCGUAAUCUUAACAGGCGAGAGAUAGAUGAAGAGCAAGAAAGUGAGAUGCCUCUCGUGUCCACAGAGCCGUCAGAUCAAAUAGAUGCAUCUAGGUAGCGGGAAGAGCGUACAGGUCCCUGAAGAAAAUAGCAAAAUAUUGAUGUGGGCCGUGGACCUCCUCGACAAGGGCUUCUGACUGACACUCAGUUCACAUCAACCUGCAGUGUAUUUAGGAAAGCUUCCUUUAAGAUCUCUGAAUGUUUUAUGCCAUAUUUUUGGUUACAAAUAAAAACAAAAGGCUUGAUGUGGCGUGUAGUGUUUAUAGAAAGAAGCAUCACUUGCUUGGGUUCAUUUUAUAGGCAUUCCUGAAAACAUACUGAUAGAUGUUAUUUUUCCACCUGUAUCCCUGCAGCCUCCUUCAGGUUUACAAUCCAAGAUCUUCCCUUGUUCUUGGUAAUUUGAGGAAUCUUACCGACCUUAAAGAUGUAGGGAGAUAUUUGGAAUUUAAAUGAACCGACAGAAGAGUCACACUUUUUCAAGGAUGUCAUGCAGGAAAUACACAUUCCCUUUUCUGCCUUUCCUCUCUCAAUGCAGGGAAGAGGGCCUGAUCUCCCAUUUGCCUUCUUUGGUAUACAACUUGGUUACUUCCGGUUUACAUUGCGCCCUCCACCACCACCCCCAACUCCUAACCCACUCCACUCCGAAUUUGGUAAUUUUUGGUCACUCUGUAUCUGCAGUCAAAGGCUUCUCAGCAAGCCACCUGGGUAGAGCGACCUUGACUUGUUCUGUGGUCUCGGUGGGAUCAGCCCCAGAAUUUCCUCUAGUCUAGGCUCACUGGUUUUUCCACCGUGACCGGGGCUGACUUUCAUCUACUUUCUAGCCUACUGCGUGCUUUGCUUUUGGAGAAAUAAUAUGGGAUAGACACUCUUGGCCAAAAAUCCAAUUUCUCCAGGAGAAAAGUUGACAAAGCACAAACUAACAAUGAGUAGAUUUUAUCUGUGAUCAUUGAAAUACAUCUGGGACACAUUGUGAUUUUCUAAGUUGCAACUCAGUUUAUCCAAAAUUUAGAGCUAAGAAAACAUAUACCAUCCAGUGAUCUGGGAAAAGAUGGUUCUACAACCUAUUAUUUCCUGAAAUUAUUCUUUCCUUUCUGCUUCCAUUCCCUCUGCCUUUGAUAAGGACAUUAUUCUUAAUUACUAAUAACCUCUUAAUUAGUCCCUUUGCUGUCAUUAGAAAAUGAUGUCAAAAAUGUCAAAAUAGAAGACUGAGAAGACCUCUGUUGCUCCGCUGUCAUUAGAAAAUGAUGUCAAAAAUGUCAAAAUAGAAGACUGGUAAGACCUCUGUUGCUCCACUGUUUAAAAUAUUUCACUGCCUAUCCAGCACUUACGUCAGCAUUUCCUAAGAGAGAGGGAACCAGAAAGAAACUUCAGCAAGUUAAUAAAUGGAAAAUAUGAUUUAGAAAACUUGCCCAGUGAAAGCCCCUCCCGGAGCCUUCACAUGCAUUCAUUUGGAGCGGCGAUGGCCCAAAUAAACCACUUCAAUCCAGAAUUAUUAUUAUUAUUUUUUUUUUGAGACAGAGUCUCGCUGUGUCACCAGGUGCCAGGCUGGAGUGUAGUGGUGCAAUAUCAGCUCACUGCAACCUCCGCCUCCAGGGUUCAGACAAUUCUCCUGUUUCAGCCUCCGAAGUAGCUGGGACUACAGGCGCGUGCCACCAUGUCCAGCUAAAAUUUGUAUUUUUUAGUAGAGAUGGGGUUUCGCCAUGUUGGCCAUGAUGGUAUUGAUGUCUUGACCUUGUGAUCCGCCCGCCUGGGCUUCCCAAAGUGCUGGGAUUACAGGCAUGAGACACUGCGCCCGGCCCAGAAUUAUUUUAAUGUAUGUAAUCACGGAAUUUCUUUUUCAAGUUUUACCUGUUAAAUAUCUAUAGUGCUAGUUUCCACAGAGACAUUUUGAGUGAAGCUUCCUAGAAUAAAAGCCAAGCUCCUUAACUGAUAGCACGGGGUACACCUGUUUCAGGUUGUUUUCAGUCUCCUUAUUCAGCCUGGCUUCCCACCCCUUGUUGCCUUGCUGUGUGACCUUCUACCUGAGCAAGGCACACACCACAGUGUUGUGGUCCUCUGUGCCUUUGCAGUUGCCCAUUCCUUUGCCUAGAGUCAUUCUUCCCCUUGCUUGCCUGGUGAACUGUUUUUCCCGUCUGUUCACACCCGGAAGAGGUGCCUCUCCCUAAGCAGGAGCCUUCCCUGACUCCUGUUCAGCAGAGGGAAUCCUCCCCUCAUCAUUCUACUCUACGCUUUGCUCAGUUCAUUUGCAUUUUGGGUGCACUCAUCAUGCUGGUUUGUCACUGUGUUGGUAGGUGUAAUGCAUUUCAAAAUUGAUGACAGAUUUCAUGGAAGGAAUCUGUGUAAUGAGUUUCUGGGUUAUUCCUAGAACAGCAUAGGGACUUAAAUGAUGUUUGUAGAAAAGGCGAAUGGUCGCAUUCCAUAUGCUGGGAGCAUUACCUGGAUUGGGAACUUUCGUUGAUGAAGAAAGGUAACAUAUACAUCAAGAAAAAAGCAAACAUGUUCUCAUAGGAAAACGAGAUAUGUGAGCUGUGUGUACCUAUAUAUGUGUAAAUGUAUAUGUACACAUAUCUGCGUAUACAUCUAUAAACGCAUAAUACACACACAUAUAGUUUCAAUGUAUAAGAAGAAUACAUACAAAUGCACACACACAAACAAAUGCGGAUUCCCUCACAAAAAUCAUUUUCCCCAGCCAUGAGACACCGCUAUUUAAUGAAGGAUUAUUAGGAAAUACAGGAAGAGAAACUUUACCAAGGGCACUGAAACACAUAGGUGGUUUUAGAAAUAAAACCUUGAUAUUUUUAUUCCUUACACAUAACCUUCGCUUAUAUGGUCUCAUCCAAACAACAGCCCUGCAUCAUCCUACGCAGGCUUCUAUUUAUCUACUUGGGCUGAGCUGACCCCACUGGAAAUCGAACAUUGCUGCAGUUAUUGAUCCAGGCACAUGGACACUGGCAAGGCUCCCUUUGUGUGACAUUUACAGAAGGGCCUGCUAGAGAGAGCGUUCUAAGUACAGAAGCAUCCACGAGACUGCUGCUUCCCUCACAGUCUGAUAGAAAGAAAUCUGUGGCCACUUCUAGCCCCACAAUGGAAUAGCACCACUGUGGUGCCUCACUGUGUAUUGUGCUGGGCAUGGCUUGGCUGUCCUGCUCACCCCUCUCAUUCCUCCAGCUCCUCUGCCUUGCUCUGACUCUUAAUGUAAUGUGACUGGUUGGUCAUGACCUUCACAUGCUGCACUGGUGCUCUGUUCUCUCUCUGCUCUGUCUCUCUGGCCUUAAGCUAUAGUGAACUCACUAAGCACGAGACUCCCUUUUAAAACAUCUAACUGAAAGGAGUGUUGUUUGCUUUCUGGCCCUCAAACACCAAGGCACUGUUGUGCUCCUUAAAAUUGUAAAUUAUGUCUGUUUAAGAAAAUGUCAGUGUUUUUUAAAACAGAAUAACAGUGCUGGAAAAGACUUGGCUGUGCAAUUUGUUACCAAAGUUUCAUGCAAGAAAAAUGAUGCCUUCAUCAUUAUGAGCACAGUCAAGGGUUCUAAUGAUUUGGGCACAAUGCCUCUUCAGUUCUUUUAAGAAAAAUGGAUUUUUUUUCUUUCUCCUCAGCAAGUUAUCUGAGUCAUGUCAAAGCUCAUAAACUGAGAUCCAGGGAGACAGUGUCAGUGAGGCACUAUACUUAACAACAAUUAAAACGUUAAGACACAUCUUUUAUAAUUAAAUUGAUUUUUUUUUUCUGCCAGAAACAAGACCUUUUCAGGUAAUGAUUGCUUUGGUUUUCUAAAAUUGUAUGUAUUGAGGCCAGGGAGGAGGAGAUCUGUUGUUACAUUUAUACGCCAUUUCAUGUGCCUUCAAAAUCCAAUUUUUAAAUAGGCCAAUAGGAUGAUUUUUGAGUGGGGAAGGGGAAAUAGCUAUGGAUGACCAGUGCGAUCGAUGUCAAAUCACUGCGCUGGAAAACAUAUUAUUUAGCUACAUAGAAUUUCAGCUCUGCAAGUGGACUCACAGGCUUAGGAAAGCAAGGAUGAAAAUGUUGGCUAAGGAGGCAGGCCUCUGAUUCCGAUGGGUUCUCUGGCCAGCUGGGACCUGGGCGAGGCUCUUAGCUUAGCCACACAUUCUCCAGCGUCACGCAAGCAUAAUGCUGUCACAUUUUUUCCCUGUCUGAAAUACGUUAAGAUCUAUAAAUCAAAAGGCUACACAUUUUAUAUUAAAAAUUGCCUUUUCAGGAUAAGUAUAACACCACACCCUCAAAAAGCUCAGUGUCUUUUUGACCCCUGGGUAACUGUUUGAAUCUGGAAUAUUUACCUGAAUUUUCCUUACGUGGCCUCCAUUCAUGUCAAGCAGCUGUUGGAAUAAAUACAAAGGGACUUGUCUGACUUUCUAGUAAUAACCUUCAUUUUUUUCCCCUCAUGGCUUGAACACAUUAUUUAGUGGAUUGAGUUUUACCUUUUUUUUUUUUUUUUUUGUAGAGGGAGUGGCUGCCUUUUUGUUAAAAUUACUGGAUUUUAUUAAGAGAUAUUAGGAGAAACUCUUGCCAUAUGGCAAUUUCAAAGAAAGAAAGGAAGAAAAAAAGAUAGCUGAUGUUUGCUUUUAUGUUUACCUAAUGUUUGAAAAGCUAGAAGUAACCCAGAGGAGAGCAGGCCAGGGGUUUUGUGUCAAUGGGUGGAACACACUUGCUAUGAAAUGUGAUGGAAUGUUUACUGAGCUAUUUUUCACAAAUAUCAAAAUGUUCCUGCUCUCAUAUCCAGUUGACACAGCAGUAGCCUUUUUAAAAAAAUGUUGCCUCUGUGAUGGGCAGGUAGGCUCCGUGUUGCCCUCUUUGGAAGUAACGGCCCAAAAUUGUGCCUGGCUGCACUCACACUGUUGGGCAAAUGGACAAACAGAUACACCCCAUUUCCAAACAUGGGGGAGCUGAGUUCCGUCUCUUUCUGGUAUUUCCUAAAGACACGUCUAAUGGAUGGGAGGAAAUCUAAUCCUGACAGAAUGUUUUCUUGCUGUCUAGGUUAACAUGUGUGUUUCUUUUUUUUUUAAGAGACUUCAUUGCAGUGAAUUUAAUACAUGAAAAUAGAUAUGAUAUUUUAUAAAAUGUUACAUCCUAAAAAUUAUUUUGAAUAUUGAUAUCUGAAAAUAUAAUUACAUAAAUAGUCGUAAUACAAUUGUAAAUCUACUUCAAAGAUGAUGAAAAUGCACUUAGUAACAUGUGUGUUUCUUUGCCUGACUCUCAACCGUGGGCCUGUAUCUCUGCAAUUCCGUGGCCCUGGGUGGGUGAGGGAGUGUGGCAUGUGAACAGAAACUGGAUCAUGGAGAGCACCAGGGAAUGGUGUGCACCCGAGCAAGCUCCUCAUUCUCUCUGAGGCUCUAGAUUCUGUUAGAUGAAAGCAAUGAUACCAACUAACCUGAUUAGGACAGCUAUUUGUAGUAAUUCUAUGCAUAGGGAAAGAGAUGAAAUUUAAUAUAAUAAAAUCUUAGCAGUGGUGAAGCUAGCGGAGUGGGAUUUUAGGACAAUCUGGUCUUCCGUGUCUCUGGAUUUUCUGUGAUUUUCUCUACACACACUCAUGCAUACAUGCACUCACUAGUGACAAGGACAACGAUAAGAGGCUUUGGGCAGGUCUUGACAAUGAAUAGUUCUUUAUACUUACUCUUCACCUGCACCAAUAGUCUUCAGUCAGAAAAUAAAAUAUAUGCAAAGUAUAUAUACUUUAUCCUACUCCUUCAUGGAUUGUUUUGAAAUUAAAAUUCAAUAAUUGGGCAAAAGUUCUUAAUAUCUUAUAGCUUAUUUUACAGGUAUUAAUUGUUAUUUUGGAAAUUAUAUUACCAUUACUCUAUUGCUAUCUGAAGAAUCUAGUUUAUCACAAAUAUACACAUACACAUAAAUUAUAUGAUUUUUGCAUAUUUAUCAUGUAUCUCUCUUUCUGUAUAAACAUAUAUAUUAAUUUAAACAUUAUUUGGGGUGUCACAUUUUUAUUCAUUGAGUGAGGGGAUGGAUGUUAAUUAAAACUUCAUUUUGGAAAUGUGAAGAUGAACUGUUUUGGAAGGUAGUUUUAAUAAUUUAAAAGUGUGUUUUUUAAAACAAUAACAAAAGACCAGAUCUUUAUGUUGUUUUAGUUAUUCCUGUAGUUUUAACAGUUCCAUAUUUUCCAAUUCUGUGAUUUUCUCUCUUUGAAAUUCACUUUAGAUG